RNAcentral lists this ribosomal RNA (2212 nucleotides) under Gloiopeltis furcata. RNAcentral's name for it is "bacterial LSU rRNA". It matches the Rfam family "Bacterial large subunit ribosomal RNA". Lineage: Eukaryota; Rhodophyta; Florideophyceae; Gigartinales; Endocladiaceae. The record is from RNAcentral.
AGGGCUUACGGUGGAUACCUUGGCAUUUAGAAGCGAUGAAGGGCGUGACUACCAACGAAAUGCUCCGGGUAGCUGGAAGUAAGCUUUGAUCCGGAGGUUCCCGAAUGAGGAAACUCUAUUAUACUACCUAUUGAAUUCAUAGAUAGGCAAGAGCAAACUUGGUGAACUGAAACAUCUUAGUAUCCAAAGGAAAAGAAAGCAAAAGCGAUUCUCUUAGUAGCGGCGAGCGAAAAGAGAACAGCCUAAACCACUUUAAUAAGUUUUAGUGGGGUUGCGGGACAGAAACAAAAGUAAACAAAAAGCUAGGUGAAACAAGUGGAAUAUUGUAUCAAAGAAGGUGAUAAUCCUGUAGCUGAAAGUAGAUUGUAGCUUAUCUGUAUCCCAAGUAGCAUGGAGCACGUGGAAUUCCGUGUGAAUCAACGAGGACCACCUCGUAAGGCUAAAUAUUCCUAAAUGACCGAUAGUGAAAAGUACCGUGAGGGAAAGGUGAAAAGAACCCCGGAAGGGGAGUGAAAUAGAACAUGAAACCGUAAGCUUACAAGCAGUAGGAGAACGACUAAUCGUUUAACUUCGUGCAUGUUGAAGAAUGAGCCGGCGACUUAUAGUCAGUGGCAGGUUAAGAUAGAAAAUAUUGAAGCCAUAGUGAAAGCGAGCCUUAACAAGGCGUUAGUCACUGUUUAUAGACCCGAAACCGGAUGAUCUAGCCAUGGCCAGGGUGAAGCUUAGGUAACACUAAGUGGAGGUCCGAACCGACUGAUGUUGAAAAAUCAGCGGACGAGCUGUGGUUAGAGGUGAAAUGCUAAUCGAAUCCGGAGCUAGCUGGUUCUCCCCGAAAUGCGUUUUGGCGCAGCGGUUGAUGCUUAAACUUAGGGGUAAAGCACUGUUUCGAUGCGGGCUGUGAAAAUGGUACCAAAUCGAGGCAAACUCUGAAUACUAAGUGUGUAGUCAACUAGUGAGACAGUGGGGGAUAAGCUUCAUUGUCAAGAGGGAAACAGCCCAGACCACCAGCUAAGGCCCCUAAAUAAUUACUAAGUGGUAAAGGAAGUGGAAAUGUUUAAACAACCAGGAGGUUUGCUUAGAAGCAGCAAUCCUUUAAAGAGUGCGUAAUAGCUCACUGGUCUAAUAAUUCUGCGCCGAAAAUGAACGGGGCUAAGUAAUUUGCCGAAGCUGUGGGAUGUUAUUACAUCGGUAGGGGAGCGUUCUGUUACAGGUUGAAGCAUUAACGUAAGUGGAUGUGGACAAAGCAGAAGUGAGAAUGUCGGCUUGAGUAACGAAAACAUUGGUGAGAAUCCAAUGCCCCGAAAACCUAAGGGUUCCUUUGCAAGGUUCGUCCACAAAGGGUGAGUCAGGUCCUAAGGCGAGGCUGAAAAGCGUAGUCGAUGGAUAACAGUUUAAUAUUCCUGUACUAUUUACUAUUGAUAUCGAGGGACGGAGAAGGCUAAAUCAGCCGGAUGUUGGUUACCGGUUUAAAUUUUUGAAGGUUAUGAUAGAUGGUGAAAACAUCUUGAGCUAAAAAAUGAGUACAAGCUACCACGGUAGUAAAGUGAUUGAUGUCAUACUUCCUAGAAAAGCUCCAAAUAUCUUAAAUAGUAAUUACCUGUACCCUAAACUGACACAAGUAGGUAAGUAGAGUAUACUAAGGGGCGCGAGAUAACUCUCUCUAAGGAACUCGGCAAAAUAGCCCCGUAACUUCGGGAGAAGGGGUGCCCUUGUAGGGCUGCAAUAAAUAGACCCAAGCGACUGUUUACCAAAAACACAGGUCUCCGCGAAGUCGCAAGACAAUGUAUGGAGGCUGACGCCUGCCCAGUGCCGGAAGGUUAAGGAAGCUGGUUAGUAUUUUACAAAGCUAGCAACUGAAGCCCCGGUGAACGGCGGCCGUAACAAUAACGGUCCUAAGGUAGCGAAAUUCCUUGUCGAGUAAGUUUCGACCCGCACGAAAGACGUAACGAUCUGGGCACUGUCUCGGAGAGAGACUCGGUGAAAUAGAAAUGUCUGUGAAGAUGCGGACUACUUAUACNCGUCUUUCGUGCGGGUCGAAACUUACUCGACAAGGAAUUUCGCUACCUUAGGACUGUCAGAGUUACAGCCGCCGUUCACCGGGGCUUCAGUUGUUAGCUUUUUCCAAAGAAUAACCAACUUCUUUUACCUUCCGGCACUGGGCAGACGUCAGCCCCCAUACAUUGUCUUACGACUUUGCGGAGACCUGUGUUUU